This 2263-nucleotide long non-coding RNA is filed under the name Vitis vinifera (wine grape). Its description in RNAcentral is "long non-coding RNA (VVIN_LNC008057)". Lineage: Eukaryota; Viridiplantae; Streptophyta; Magnoliopsida; Vitales; Vitaceae. The record is from RNAcentral.
UUAAGUAUUAAAAAGUAAAAAAAACCAAUAUGUUAUUUUUUCUAUUUAGAAAAAGCUACAUAUUUUGGCUUUUUCUAUUUAGUAAAAAGUUUAUAAUAAGUCAUGAAAAAGUAGAAAAACAAACAACCUAAAUUCUAAAACUAAAUUGCUUUUAGCAAAAAGCCAAAAAAACAAACACCACCUUAAUAAGGUGUGAGGUUUGCAAUCAGGAACAUUCUUGUCAAAGAGAACUUGCCAGUCACCAUGCCAUGGAUCUACCAGAAAAAAAAAUGUUCAGGAAAACAACAAUUUGUUCAAUACAUGAGAAGGAUUCAUACUUUUGCAAAGACAUUGUUCCUUCUUUAUUUAGAGUUCUAAAUAGGCUAACUAGGCGCUUGAUUGUUUGGCAAAGGGGGUGUUAGAUCCAUAGAGAUCUUUUUAAGAGACUUAGGCUUUUAUUUAUUGGUCUUGCAGGUUUUCUUGGAUGGAUUUUAGUUUCUAUUUUCCCUAUUGUUACUUUCUCAACAGAUAUCUGAUCCUUCAUUGUUAACUUUCUCAUUAUUAUUAAUAAAAUCUGAUAAUACUAAACAAGUUUUAUACAUUCAAGACAUGCUUAAAGGUCUGGUGGAAAAUGAAUUGCUCCAUUGUGUUUUAUAUAUUGUUUUAUUUGCAAAUCCAUCCUCAUGAGCAGGGGCCAUUACAAAAACUGUUGGCUAUCAUUAUAUGAGAUGAGAUAUGCGUCAUAUUAUGAAUCCAGCAAUAGAUUCCAUACAUAGUUGUGGCCAUGGCUUCAAUUUCUGGAUCAUGAAUUUCUUCUGCAAAUUUGUAUGUAAAACGCAACAGAGUGAUCAAAUUCUCACUGAACAUUCAAACACAUACUUGAUUAAUUCAAUAUGAAACAAAUAAUCACAACUUAACAAAGCCCUAAAUCCCAACUGCUUGGGUAGAUUGACCAAAUUCCUUUGCAAAUCAAUUGUAUCUAGGUUUAUACCAUUCACUAAAUCAUUGGAAAUAGCAAAUCAAUUGUACGUACCGUUUAUGUUUCCAUGGUAAAACUAGAGAAUGUUUAUUCCAUCCAAAUCUUUUUUAUAUAUAAUUGUACAAGAUAAUGUUCCUAGAUAAUUAAUUAUAUAGAAAUACUAGCUUGACCAGUGAACAAGAAUGAAAUCCUAGAAUUCAAAUUGUCAACAAUAGCAUUGACAGGUUAAAAGCAUUCAAAGAGAAACCCUAGCCCUCUAUUUGGUUUCCACACAAAUAGAGCAAUAAAAGACAACUUAUUUCUCAUCUUUUACUUCCAAAAAAGAAAAAGGGAAAAGCCCUUCGUACUGUGAAUUUUAAGUAAAGUGGCAUGUUUCUGCAUUCCCGAAUCAUCAUUGAUGAAAAUUUUAUGAUUCAAAUCAUUGUUGGUGAAAAUUUUUCAAUUCAAAAUUCUAAUUGUUUUUUUCAUGUUUUCUUAGUAUCUAAACUAAAUAUAUUUUCAUCCAAGAAAACUAUCUAUUUUUAUACAAGCAAGCAUUUCCACUUAGCAAAUACCGUUAAUCUAACAAAAAUCUAGCCGUAAUCUAGACUGGCAAUAGUUCCACGGCUGUUCAAAGAGAAACCCUAGAAUCGAAAACUUCCAGCAAUAGCAUAUCCAACCUAUAAAGCACUCAGAGUGAAAUCCGACCCUCUGUUUGGUUACCAAGAAAAAUAAAACAAAACCACAUUUUGAUUUCUUUGUUUUCUCUCUCACUUUCUUUGCUUCCAAAAAUCCAACAAUAAAAAAUUUAAAAUUUAAAAAAUUAGAUCAACUAAGCCAAAGAGUCUUAUCAGUUUUAGGUAAAGUGCAAUCUUCUGUAUUCUCUAACCCUAGAUGGCAAAAUUUUCUUGCAUUUUCUCAUUAUUUCGAUUGUAUCCAACGGAGAAGCUGAUUGAAUGAAUUGGGAGUAGAGAUCGUAACAGUACCUUGAACUCAGAGAUCGAUCGAAACGCAGCCUUUGGAGAAGUGACAAUUGACCCUUUUUGCGUACCGACAACCGAGAGAUUGAAUGCUUCUCUGUAAACAGUUAUCGGAUCCCCUCAACUCAGAUAUCGCCCGAAACGCAGCGUUUGGAGAAGGGACGAUAGGAAUCAUAGGACGCCUACGGAGUUCAGUCGGGUAAUAAUGGGCUGGUCAUGGGCCGGCCCAAUAUCUCUCGAUCAAAUUUUACUGCCUACAUAGUUUGAUCUGAAUGAAAGCUAACUCAACUUCAUCCCCUACUUAAUUUAUUUUAGAUUUUCAAUCCAUACUCAAUUUAAUCAUGUU